GACGAACGCUGGCGGCGUGCUUAACACAUGCAAGUCGAACGAAGUGGCGAACGGGUGAGUAACGCGUAAUCAACCUGCCCUUCAGAGGGGGACAACAGUUGGAAACGACUGCUAAUACCGCAUACUGAAGGAGGGGAUUGCGUCUGAUUAGCUAGUUGGAGGGGUAACGGCCCACCAAGGCGAUGAUCAGUAGCCGGUCUGAGGGGAGGAACGGCCACAGUGGGAAUGAGACACGGCCCAGACUCCUACGGGAGGCAGCAGUGGGGAAUCUUCCGCAAUGGAGGAAAGUCUGAAUGAGCAACGGCGCGGGAGUGAUGACGGCCUUCGGGUUGGAAAGCUCUGUUAAUCGGGACGCGGUACCGGAAGAGAAAGCCACGGCUAACUACGUGCCAGCAGCCGCGGUAAUUC
RNAcentral lists this ribosomal RNA (408 nucleotides) under uncultured bacterium. RNAcentral describes it as "partial 16S ribosomal RNA". It matches the Rfam family "Bacterial small subunit ribosomal RNA", at positions 28 to 526 of the family's 1533-position model. The record is from RNAcentral.